Molecule: ribosomal RNA, 482 nt
Filed under: uncultured bacterium
Lineage: Bacteria
Description: bacterial SSU rRNA
Rfam family: Bacterial small subunit ribosomal RNA
Source: RNAcentral
GCGUGCAGGAAGACGGCCUUCGGGUUGUAACUGCUUUUCUCGUGGGACGAGUAGGGACGGUACCAGAGGAAUCAGCCUCGGCUAACUACGUGCCAGCAGCCGCGGUAAUACGUAGGAGGCAAGCGUUGUCCGGAUUUACUGGGCGUAAAGCGCACGCAGGCGGUCUUGUCAGUCUGGGGUGACAGUUUCCGGCUUCACCGGGGAAGUGCUCUGGAAACUGCAAGACUUGAGGGCUUCAGAGGGAUGUGGAAUUCCAGGUGGAGUGGUGAAAUGCGUAGAGAUCUGGAAGAACACCAAAGGCGAAGGCAGCAUCCUGGGAAGUUCCUGACGCUCGGGUGCGAAAGCCAGGGGAGCGAACGGGAUUAGAUACCCCGGUAGUCCUGGCCGUAAACGAUGACCACUAGACGUUGGAGGUAUCGACCCCUUCAGUGUCGCAGUUAACACGCUAAGUGGUCCGCCUGGGGAGUACGGUCGCAAGAUUA